Molecule: long non-coding RNA, 199 nt
Filed under: Ananas comosus (pineapple)
Lineage: Eukaryota; Viridiplantae; Streptophyta; Magnoliopsida; Poales; Bromeliaceae
Description: long non-coding RNA (ACOM_LNC024200)
Source: RNAcentral
UUAUAUCAUCUUUUGUAUUUGAUGAUUAGAAAUGUUAAAGUAAUGAGAGUAAGCAUUCUAUGUUAAAGUAAUGUGAUGUAAAAAGAAAUGAUGAAAAGCAAUGUAAUGGAGAAAAAUAUUGUAUGCUUGUAAAUGGUUAAAAGUUAAUCAUUCUACUUGUAUGGUUGUAUAGUUUAGAAUUCUUUCACUUUAGCUAUUG